RNAcentral lists this transfer RNA (73 nucleotides) under Minisyncoccota bacterium. RNAcentral describes it as "tRNA-Thr". It matches the Rfam family "tRNA". Rfam says of the family: Transfer RNA (tRNA) molecules are approximately 80 nucleotides in length. The record is from RNAcentral. Lineage: Bacteria; Bacillati; Minisyncoccota.
GCCGAUUUAGCUCAGUUGGUAGAGCAUUACAUUCGUAACGUAAAGGUCUCGAGUUCGAUCCUCGAAAUCGGCU